Didymella sp. IMI 355093 is the source of this 88-nucleotide non-coding RNA. The record is from the annotation of a GenBank genome assembly. Lineage: Eukaryota; Fungi; Ascomycota; Dothideomycetes; Pleosporales; Didymellaceae.
CCCCCCGUGGCGCGAUGGUCACCGCGUCCGACCGUUACCGCUCAACGGCACAUCGGGGGACUGUAAGUUCGAUCCUUCCCCAGGGAGU